CUCAAGCAGAGAAGCAGGGAGGGCGGACACUCUUGCCACCAAGCCUGGUGACCCGAGUUCAGCCCUGGCGCCCCCACCAGGUGGAGGAAGAGAACUGCUUCUGCAGAGCGUCCUCUGACCUCCUCAGGGUUGCAGAACUGUCUCAGAGAGGUUGGAGAGUAGAGCUGCAUCGCACAGAUGGGGUGCCAGUUCAGCUGCCUAGGCUUGGCUCCGCGCCCCUUCAUGCAGGAAGGGAAGGUUUUGAAGAACACUGCUGGGUUGUCACCUGUAUGCGCUUUGUGCACAUUUGUGUUGCACAUUUACAUGUGUGUGAACACGUGCGUGUGCAGGCGAGUGUACAUGGAAAUUGAUGCCGGAAGACAUCCUCUCCUGCUCUGCUUUCUUAGGCUGCCACAUCCACUUGUCGUCUCUGUCAUCUACAUGGGUUCCGGGGAAUUGAACUCUGUUCUCAUGCUUGUGUGGGAGGUGUUUUAAUCACCAGGCCAUCUCUCCAGCCCCAAGGGGUUAUUAUUUCUAACGAGGAAGAAAGAACUGUGUUCAAUUCAGCAAACAUUGAGAGCAUUUUGCUUUCAAAGGCUCUACAGGACUUUCUACAAGCUGGGAAGAUGAAGGCAGAUCCUGGUUUUGGAAAUUUGAACAUACACAGGCCAUGGUAAUUGGGAUAGGGGCCUUUAACUCGAAGAAUACAGAGUAUGCAUAAAAUUUGUUAUGACAUACUGAGUAAAGAAAGCCAAACGAAUUCUAUAUCUUAGGAAGCUGACAAUGCAACAUCAUAAAAUAACAGACUGUUAUAUUAAUUAAUUAUCUGCCAUAUAGCUGUUAGACUCAUCCAGUUUCUUUGGAUUUGUUUUCUUUGGUCAUCUUUAUGAAGAAGAAAAUUUUGUAACUACAUCUUUUCUAAAGAAAACAUAAUCAUUACAUCUUUUCUUGGGCCAGGUUUUGAAAUUUGUUUACGUAAAGUUGUAAACUUAGCUUGGUAAUGUCAUUCAACAUUGGAGGGCUGAAUUUAGAAUAAUUUCUAUCAAGUUACUGCAAACUAUAAAAUUUGAAAGAAUGUUCCCCAGGCUGCCUUCUGACUCCACAUUCCAAACUGGUUUUAGGUUUAAGAACGGGCGAUUAUGGUGCACAAGCCUGUUACAAAUUUCUACUAUGAUGCGGACUGAUACCUUCAUGCCACGAUGCAGGGUGAGUGCUAACUGUGUGGGAGCCUUUCUGGAAGCCAUUUUCUAAAUCCAGGAGACUGGCGAUAACUCCAUAUAGAGACAUUCAGAAAUCAAAUCUCAUAGCACACAAGCAGAAGUUCCUUCAAUAUGGCCCCAUUACGAUGGUGUGAAGUGCUCCCUUGACUCUCUGGGUCAACAGUCUCUCUGUGUUUCUUCUGUGUUGUGCUCCUUCUUUGAAUGGCUGGCCAGCACUGGUGUUCUGUGGCAGGUCUCUGAACAAAGGGCGCACUCUGAUUCAAGUGCUAGAGAUCCGAGGAAAGCACAUUGGUGGAGAGGCUGCCAUGGCAGCAUUUAGUGGAGGAAUUACAGUUGUUACUCUUCAGGGUCUAUUUUACUCUGCCUGGGAAAGUUAAUGUGUUUCACGGUUGCUACCGGGACAGGACGUGGGCCCUGAGAGAACUUGGCUCAACAAUGGCUGUCUUAUGAAACAGUCAUUGGCUUUAUGACCACCUAAGGAACCACUAAAGAGGUUUAAAAAAACAAAACAAAACAAAACAAAACAAAACAAAACACAGAGCUAGUGUGAAACUACCUUUUCUCCCUUCUAUUCAGAAGGGAAUAGAUAAGGCUGCACAGACCCGGGACCUGUUCCUUAACAAGCAUCCCUAAUUAAUAUCAAGGCCAGUUGGAUGCCCGAGAAGUCACUGUGGAGCCAUGAGCCUGAGUGGCCACAAAACACAGCUGGCCCCGUCACUGGCCAUGCAUUUGUUAUGAUCAGGACUGUUUUAGGUGCUGUUCUCUUUAAUGCCACCUGAAUUUCACCUUCCCCCAACCCCCUUUCCUUUGAAUUGCUGCCAAAGUAACUAGAGUCAUAUAACUUUAGGGCUGGGAGCCCAGGGAGGAACGUUAGGCUGCCGAUGAGCCAGGCAUGGGAGAGGCUUGGAAGGCAACCUCGAAAGAGCACUCUGGUCCCACACAUUUGCUUUGCAUUGCCUGGUGCUGGCUAAUGUUGGAAGAACUGGGACUUUCUGUGCCCCACAGAGCAAGAUAAAACCCCAGCAAAGGGGUGUUGAUUUAAUUUAGAAAGCCUCUGGGUUUCAUUAAAUACUGAACAGAUCGUGCCAUUUACAAGUCUUGUGACACUUAAAGAUGCUAGCAAUGAUUUUUAACAUGCUGGACAAGGUCUGUGAGAAGCAGCUGCCAGGACAAGGCCAGGGCUUUGAAAAUGAGGUACAUCUGCAAAUAAUCCCCUUUGUGUCUGUUACCUGCAGUUUCUCCCUUUCUUUGUAUUGUUGGGCCCUUACAUUCAUUAAACAGCAUCCCUUUUCUGUCCUUAGAAUGCUAUUAUUAUAAUACUAUGUAUUACUGGGAGUCAAAGUGGAUGAGAAGGCUUGGCAGAAUUGCUACUCCUGAAAUUUUAAAACAUUUUUUUUUAAAACGUUGUAUAGUAUGUGACAUUGGUGACCUCAUCCAGGACAGUGUAGUGAAGAUAUCCUGCAGUUUUGAAUCUGAAAGCUCAAAUUUUCAGAUACUUUGGGUUAGAAACUAGAACAACACAUCCUGUGGAUUUUCCCAUGCUCUGAAAGAUGCAGUACACUUAUAGUAUGUAUCAGUAGGCACAGCCAUUCUUUCCCCUUGCCAGGAAAACCAACAAUAUUCACAGGAAAAUCAUUUCCUUUUCUGCCAACUGCACAGCCAGGUUCUGUUCCUGACCUCUCAAAUGAGCAGCAUUACUCCAUAGAAACAAAUUCUCUUACAUUGACAAGCAAUAUAAACCCAUGUAUUGAUUCUACACUGCCAUUACGUGCUGGUCAUGAUAACGGAACACCAGGCCAUUUGUGUGCUGCGAUGGACACACAAUUGGUUAUGGAGAGAGAAGAUCGUAUUCCUUCUUAUACAUUAUCCAUAAAGGAAAAUACACAGGAAAUGUGGCAAGCUCAAGCUACCCCAGAAGAAGAAACGCAUGUUGGUAACUUUCCAAGGCUCCUCGAUAGAAAUGAGAACCAAAUGAUGCUGACCUGAAAAGCCCAAGACCCCAGUAGGCAAUGAGAUCCUAGGGGUCCCAGGAAGCAGAAAAUGAGAGCUACGGUCCACACUGGCUUUUAAAAUUUCCGAGCACACAUCUCCCUGAGUGAGAUUUGGGACUCAGAUGCUUCAGUGGAAAUGAAGCAGACUUUCGGGAGGUCUGGUUUCAAGGGUGCUCCGAGAGCUGAAUGUUAAAUUUUUAUUUGUUCCAGAAAGUGUUGGCAACUUGGUACAGCAAAUUUGAUCAGCACCAUACGUCCGACCUGUUUCGGUAAUGAUGCCACGAAUGUGACUAGGCUGCAGAGCAGCUUGUGUUCGCGAGGAAGUGACAGGCACAGGAAGGAGCGAGGCUGGCAACCCUGAAACUGUUCCUAAUUGUGCGUGGUGGGGAAGGGGUGCUGCUGACUUACAGAGCAGAGUGUUGGCUGGAAGAAAGGACUGAUCAGCAGGGCUGGCAGGAAGAAUGGAGACUCCGGGACAGGAAGAAUGUCACAACAGAAGAGAUGGGAAUCUAGAGAAACCUGGAUCAGAGAAGACACACGAAACCAUAAAAUAAAUUGAUCCACUUUUCCCUACAUAGAGGCUGGUGAGGAGCCCAAAGGAGCCUUCUGUGGGGGUUCUGGGGAGGGACUGUCCUAGAGGGGCCCAGCUGUGAGCUAGAUAGAAACUUUCCAGAAGUCAGAGGCAAGCUUGCUUCCUCUUCUUGAAGGAGCAUUUCCUUAGGUUCUGGAUUGAAAGAAAUAACCCAUCUUCCUUCCUCGCCACACGGGUCUCCUAGUAGACAUCUAAGGAUUGAGCGUGUUUCCUGGAUACAAUCCUCUCUUAAAAUUGGAAUUUUGGUGUUGUUGAUGUGAAAACCAUGUUUACUGGAAGAUUACUAUCAGCAUGUGUCUCACCUGUGUUGGUGAGGCUGAGAUUUACUGGACAUUUUCAACACAGGCCUGUGAUGGAAAGAAGAGGUAGAAAGAAGAGGUGGUUGCUGGCUUUGACAAAUGCUAGUUUUCCACAGCAGUGGCCCCCCACAGAGACUGCUUUGAACCCACAGAAGAUGCCCUCAGUUGUCCAGAGGAGGACAGUGGAGGAUGAGAAUAUUUGGAGGGGGGCUUAUUAUCUGAGCCCUUUCCUACCUUCCCCAGGUCACAGGGUCUCCAUCUUGAGGGAAAAUGUUGUUCCAUGAGAGUCCAGCAUACUUUGAUGUAUGUGGUAGAUGAUCCUAGCUGUCAACUUGAUAGGAUGUUGAAUCACCUAAGUGACAAACUUGUGGCCAUGUCUGAGAGGCUCUUUCUGAAUUGGGCCUAUUGAAGUGAGGAGACUCACACCCUAAUUGGUUGGUCUGACUGUAAAGGAGAGAGUUGUACCAGCAUCUAAUUCUCUCUACUUCCUGACUAACUGCCUCACAUUUGUGCUGUCAUGACUACCAUAAUAGAUGGUACCCUCAAACUGUGAGCCAAAAUAAAUCCUUCUGUGGUGGUUUAAAUGAAAACGGACUCCAUAGGCUCACUUGUUUGAAUGUUUGGGCCUCAGUUAGUGGAAAUGUUUGGGAAGGAUUAGGAGGUGUGACCUUUCUAGAGGAGGUUUAUCACUUGGGGAGGGCUUCAACACAGCCAGGUACUCUCUCCUCUCUCCUCUCUCUCUCUCUCUCUCUCUCUCUCUCUCUCUCUCUCUCUCUCUCUCUGUGUGUGUGUGUGUGUGUGUGACUACAGCCUGUAGGUCAAGACAUAAAGCUCUCAGCCACCACCAGUCACAUGCCUAUCUGCUUCCUGCUGUGAUGAUAAUGAAUGGUCAGAAACUGUAAGCAAGCCCCCAAUUAAAUACUUUGUUUUAUUAGAGCUGUCUUGGUCAUGGUAUCUCUUCACAGCAAUAGAACAAUAACUAAGACACCUUCCUUUCUUAAUUUAUUUUUUUACUGGCUAAUUGUUACAAUGAACAAAGUAACUAGUCAUAAUGUGAUUGCUCAGAAAAACAUCAUAUAUUAAAUGAUAUAAUGACCUUGUCCCUAGAACUAAGUCUGACUCAGAGGCACCAUGUGACGUGGACUUAGACAAGGCUCCUCUGUUGUCAUGUUUGAGUUACAGGUUUGAGUUCUAGAAGCCACAAUGUGUUGACUUCUAAGUACAAGCGUGUGUGUGGGAGAGAGGCGACUUCCUGAACCAGGGCCUGACCUCUGGGGACUAUUAUGGACACUAUGCUAUUAUGGACACAUCCUGGGAAAAGAAUUUACUGACCUCUCUAUCCCAUGCUCUAUGGUCCCCACAUGGCCUUUUGUUCUUGUAGAGGAUAGGAAGUGUGGAGGCAGGAUUGUACCAUUGUUUCAUCGGGUCAUCUUGCCAGACGUGCCUGAGCCGCAGAAUCUGUGCUCUGUUUUGCAAAUCUUGUUUGGGAGGUUUUUAAGGAGUAACUUGGAUUUCCAGUACAUAGAAGAGUAUAGAGAGAAAGACAAUAUGAACCACCCAUUGAUGCAACAUUUUGCCUCAUUGUAUUUUUAUAAUUGUUAGAACUAAAGCCUUACUUAUCUGUUUUCAGUGAAGGGAAAAUAUCAAUAAUCUGAUUUUCUGGCUGUACCAAGUGGAUUCCUUAGAGUCUUCAGACAACGACAACUGUGAUAGCUAAUCUUGGUUGUCAACGUGACAGACCUGGGGAAGGGAAAACGCAUUUGAAGAAUAGCUUGCCUGUGAGCAUGUCUAUGGAGCAUUUUCUCAGCUGUUGAUUGAUGCCGAGGGCCCAGCCCACUGUGGGUGGUACCAUCCCUAGGCAGUUGGCUUUGGGUUGUAUAAGAAGGGUUAGCUGAAUGUAACCCUGAGAGCAAGCCACAAAGCAGCAUGCUUCUGAGGUCUCUGCUUCAGUUCGUCUCCAGGUUUUUCACCUUUGGUUCCUGCCCAGGCUUCUCUGGAUUAUAAACUGAAACCUGUAACCUGAAAUAAA
Long non-coding RNA from Meriones unguiculatus (Mongolian gerbil), 6110 nucleotides. RefSeq lists it as uncharacterized. The transcript is spliced from 3 exons. Lineage: Eukaryota; Metazoa; Chordata; Mammalia; Rodentia; Muridae. The record is from RefSeq and is a predicted model, not a curated record.